GACGUAGGGGGCCAGCGUUGUUCGGAAUUACUGGGUGUAAAGGGUUCGUAGGCGGUGCGGCAAGUUGGGAGUGAAAUCUCUGGGCUUAACCCAGAGGCUGCUUCCAAAACUGCUGUGCUUGAGUGUGGGAGAGGCGCGUGGAAUUGCAGGUGUAGCGGUGAAAUGCGUAGAGAUGUGGAGGAAUACCGAUGGCGAAGGCAGCCCCCUGGUCAUAUACUGACGCUGAGGCACGAAAGCGUGGGGAGCAAACAGG
This 253-nucleotide ribosomal RNA is filed under the name uncultured bacterium. Its description in RNAcentral is "partial 16S ribosomal RNA". It matches the Rfam family "Bacterial small subunit ribosomal RNA", at positions 524 to 776 of the family's 1533-position model. The record is from RNAcentral.